GACGUAGGGCGCGAGCGUUGUCCGGAAUUACUGGGCGUAAAGAGCUCGUAGGUGGUUUGUCGCGUUGUCCGUGAAAACUCACAACUCAAUUGUGGGCGUGCGGGCGAUACGGGCAGACUGGAGUACUGCAGGGGAGACUGGAAUUCCUGGUGUAGCGGUGGAAUGCGCAGAUAUCAGGAGGAACACCUGCGGUGUAGACGGCUGGCUGGACCACUACUGACGCUGAGGCACGAAAGCGUGGGGAGCAAACAGG
This 253-nucleotide ribosomal RNA is filed under the name uncultured bacterium. RNAcentral's name for it is "partial 16S ribosomal RNA". It matches the Rfam family "Bacterial small subunit ribosomal RNA", at positions 524 to 776 of the family's 1533-position model. The record is from RNAcentral.